RNAcentral lists this ribosomal RNA (502 nucleotides) under uncultured bacterium. Its description in RNAcentral is "bacterial SSU rRNA". It matches the Rfam family "Bacterial small subunit ribosomal RNA", at positions 26 to 518 of the family's 1533-position model. The record is from RNAcentral.
CUAGGAUGAACGCUAGCGACAGGCCUAACACAUGCAAGUCGAGGGGCAGCACAAGGAGCAAUCUGAGGUGGCGACCGGCGCACGGGUGAGUAACACGUAUGCAACCUGCCUGUAAGCGGGGAAUAACCCGUUGAAAGACGGACUAAUACCGCAUAAUACUAAAUUACUGCAUGGUAAUUUAUUUAAACAUUUAUGGCUUACAGAUGGGCAUGCGCAUGAUUAGCUAGUUGGAGAGGUAACGGCUCCCCAAGGCAACGAUCAUUAGGGGUUCUGAGAGGAAGGUCCCCCCACACUGGUACUGGGACACGGACCAGACUCCUACGGGAGGCAGCAGUGAGGAAUAUUGGUCAAUGGACGAGAGUCUGAACCAGCCAAGUCGCGUGCAGGAAGAAUGUUCCCUAUGGAUUGUAAACUGCUUUUGCAGGGGAAUAAAGUGCAUCACGUGUGAUGUUUUGUAUGUACUCUGCGAAUAAGGAUCGGCUAACUCCGUGCCAGCCGCCGC